RNAcentral lists this ribosomal RNA (445 nucleotides) under uncultured bacterium. RNAcentral describes it as "partial 16S ribosomal RNA". It matches the Rfam family "Bacterial small subunit ribosomal RNA", at positions 354 to 796 of the family's 1533-position model. The record is from RNAcentral.
GUGAGGAAUAUUGGUCAAUGGACGAGAGUCUGAACCAGCCAAGUCGCGUGAAGGAAGACGGUUCUAUGAAUUGUAAACUUCUUUUGUGCAGGAAUAAAGUGGGUUACGUGUAACCUUUUGUAUGUACUGUACGAAUAAGGAUCGGCUAACUCCGUGCCAGCAGCCGCGGUAAUACGGAGGAUCCGAGCGUUAUCCGGAUUUAUUGGGUUUAAAGGGUGCGUAGGCGGAUUGGAAAGUCAGCGGUGAAAGUUUGCAGCUUAACUGUAAAAUUGCCAUUGAAACUGUCAGUCUUGAGUGCAAAUGAGGUAGGCGGAAUGUGUUGUGUAGCGGUGAAAUGCAUAGAUAUAACACAGAACACCAAUUGCGAAGGCAGCUUACUGGGAUGCAACUGACGCUGAGGCACGAAAGCGUGGGGAUCAAACAGGAUUAGAAACCCGUGUAGUCC